GUAUAGACCCGAAACCCGGUGAUCUAGCCAUGGGCAGGUUGAAGGUUGGGUAACACUAACUGGAGGACCGAACCGACUAAUGUUGAAAAAUUAGCGGAUGACCUGUGGCUGGGGGUGAAAGGCCAAUCAAACCGGGAGAUAGCUGGUUCUCCCCGAAAGCUAUUUAGGUAGCGCCUCGUGAAUUCAUCUCCGGGGGUAGAGCACUGUUUCGGCUAGGGGGCCAUCCCGGCUUACCAACCCGAUGCAAACUGCGAAUACCGGAGAAUGUUAUCACGGGAGACACACGGCGGGUGCUAACGUCCGUCGUGAAGAGGGAAACAACCCAGACCGCCAGCUAAGGUCCCAAAGUCAUGGUUAAGUGGGAAACGAUGUGGGAAGGCCCAGACAGCCAGGAUGUUGGCUUAGAAGCAGCCAUCAUUUAAAGAAAGCGUAAUAGCUCACUGGUCGAGUCGGCCUGCGCGGAAGAUGUAACGGGGCUAAACCAUG
RNAcentral lists this ribosomal RNA (486 nucleotides) under Salmonella enterica. RNAcentral describes it as "partial 23S ribosomal RNA". It matches the Rfam family "Bacterial large subunit ribosomal RNA", at positions 707 to 1191 of the family's 2925-position model. Lineage: Bacteria; Pseudomonadati; Pseudomonadota; Gammaproteobacteria; Enterobacterales; Enterobacteriaceae. The record is from RNAcentral. RNAcentral also lists the same sequence under 2 other names.